AGUGAACGCUGGCGGCAGGCCUAACACAUGCAAGUCGAGCGGCAGCGGGUCCCCGCGAGGGGAUGCCGGCGAGCGGCGGACGGGUGAGGAACACAUCGGAAUCUGCCUGGUUGUGGGGGAUAACGUAGGGAAACUUACGCUAAUACCGCAUGCGACCCUGAGUCGACGGACUGGGGGUGAAAGUGAGGGACCUUCGGGCCUCACGCGACCAGAUGAGCCGAUGUCGGAUUAGCUAGUUGGCGGGGUAACGGCCCGCCAAGGCGACGAUCCGUAGCUGGUCUGAGAGGAUGAUCAGCCACACUGGGACUGAGACACGGCCCAGACUCCUACGGGAGGCAGCAGUGGGGAAUCUUGGACAAUGGGCGCAA
Molecule: ribosomal RNA, 368 nt
Filed under: uncultured bacterium
Lineage: Bacteria
Description: bacterial SSU rRNA
Rfam family: Bacterial small subunit ribosomal RNA
Source: RNAcentral